UACAGAGGGUGCAAGCGUUAAUCGGAUUUACUGGGCGUAAAGCGUGCGUAGGCGGUUUGCUAAGUCGGUUGUGAAAUCCCUGGGCUCAACCUGGGAACUGCAGUCGAUACUGGCGGACUAGAGUACGGUAGAGGGAGGCGGAACUCCGGGUGUAGCGGUGAAAUGCGUAGAUAUCCGGAAGAACACCGAUGGCGAAGGCAACCGCCUGGGCCUGUACUGACGCUGAGGUACGAAAGCGUGGGGAGCAAACAGG
RNAcentral lists this ribosomal RNA (253 nucleotides) under uncultured bacterium. RNAcentral describes it as "partial 16S ribosomal RNA". It matches the Rfam family "Bacterial small subunit ribosomal RNA", at positions 524 to 776 of the family's 1533-position model. The record is from RNAcentral.